GACGAACGCUGGCGGCGUGCUUAACACAUGCAAGUCGAACGCGCCGGUCCUCUGGGUUUCUGGUGGGUGGGUGAGUGGCGAACGGGUGAGUCACACGUGAGUAACCUUCCCCCUUCUUCGGGAUAACGGUCUGAAAGGGCUGCUAAUACCGGGUAUUCACUGGUCUCCGCAUGGGGUCUGGUGGAAAGGUUGUUUUCUGGUGGGGGAUGGGGUCGCGGCCUGUUGGCUGGGUGGUGGGGUGAUGGCUCACCGAGGCUUUGACGGGUAGUCGGACUGAGAGGGGGCCCGGUCACAUUGGGACUGAGAUACGGACUAGACUACGACGCGAGGCCGCAGUGGAGACUAUUGCGCGAUGGGCGGAAGCAUGAUGCGGCGACGCAGCGUGAGGGAUGGAGGCCGGGGGGUUGUGAACCUCUUUGGAACGUGGUCAAGCCGCGACGUGGGUCGUGGUGACGGUAGUGGGUAAAGAAGCGCCGGCUAACUACGUG
RNAcentral lists this ribosomal RNA (488 nucleotides) under uncultured bacterium. RNAcentral describes it as "partial 16S ribosomal RNA". It matches the Rfam family "Bacterial small subunit ribosomal RNA", at positions 28 to 507 of the family's 1533-position model. The record is from RNAcentral.